CAGUCGCCACGGGAAUACGUAGGCGACAAGCGUUGUCCGGAAUUAUUGGGCGUAAAGGGAGCGCAGGUGGGACGGUAAGUCCGUCUUAAAAGGCAGGGGCUCAGCCCCUGUAAGGGAUGGAAACUAUCGAUCUUGAGUGCCGGAGAGGAAAGCGGAAUUCCCAGUGUAGCGGUGAAAUGCGUAGAUAUUGGGAAGAACACCAGUGGCGAAGGCGGCUUUCUGGACGGCAACUGACACUGAGGCUCGAAAGCCAGGGGAGCGAACGGGAUUAGAUACCCGAGUAGUCCCUGUCUCUUAUACA
Molecule: ribosomal RNA, 301 nt
Filed under: uncultured bacterium
Lineage: Bacteria
Description: partial 16S ribosomal RNA
Rfam family: Bacterial small subunit ribosomal RNA
Source: RNAcentral